AGCCCCGGAGACGCCAAAGUGCAAAUUUGGAGACGCACCCCAAGAGGUGCCGGGGCUU
Molecule: transfer RNA, 58 nt
Filed under: Cyrtodactylus thirakhupti (Thirakhupts bent toed gecko)
Lineage: Eukaryota; Metazoa; Chordata; Lepidosauria; Squamata; Gekkonidae
Description: tRNA Cys
Source: RNAcentral